RNAcentral lists this long non-coding RNA (252 nucleotides) under Populus trichocarpa (black cottonwood). RNAcentral's name for it is "long non-coding RNA (PTRI_LNC004698)". Lineage: Eukaryota; Viridiplantae; Streptophyta; Magnoliopsida; Malpighiales; Salicaceae. The record is from RNAcentral.
UGGUUUCUCCCGCAGUAUUUUGCGUAGGCAAGUACGAAAAAUGUUAUAAGCAGCAUAGUCGAGAGGAUCCCGAGGAUUAGUGGAAGGCCUUGAUGGACUGGUAUGACGGUAGCUGAAUCCGAACCGGAAGUGAUUUGGGCUUUGACAUGGAAGAAGAGGGUAAGAAUUAUGAUGAGAAGUAAUCGAUUCAUAGAGAUAGCCACACUCUAUGCUGUCCAAGUUUCUGUAUAUAAUGACAAUUUGAAAGAACCA